This 444-nucleotide ribosomal RNA is filed under the name Streptococcus mitis. RNAcentral's name for it is "bacterial SSU rRNA". It matches the Rfam family "Bacterial small subunit ribosomal RNA", at positions 28 to 464 of the family's 1533-position model. Lineage: Bacteria; Bacillati; Bacillota; Bacilli; Lactobacillales; Streptococcaceae. The record is from RNAcentral.
GACGAACGCUGGCGGCGUGCCUAAUACAUGCAAGUAGAACGCUGAAGGAGGAGCUUGCUUCUCUGGAUGAGUUGCGAACGGGUGAGUAACGCGUAGGUAACCUGCCUGGUAGCGGGGGAUAACUAUUGGAAACGAUAGCUAAUACCGCAUAAUAGCAGUUAUUGCAUGAUAACUGUUUGAAAGGUGCAAUUGCACCACUACCAGAUGGACCUGCGUUGUAUUAGCUAGUUGGUGAGGUAACGGCUCACCAAGGCGACGAUACAUAGCCGACCUGAGAGGGUGAUCGGCCACACUGGGACUGAGACACGGCCCAGACUCCUACGGGAGGCAGCAGUAGGGAAUCUUCGGCAAUGGACGGAAGUCUGACCGAGCAACGCCGCGUGAGUGAAGAAGGUUUUCGGAUCGUAAAGCUCUGUUGUAAGAGAAGAACGAGUGUGAGAGUGG